This 460-nucleotide ribosomal RNA is filed under the name uncultured bacterium. RNAcentral's name for it is "bacterial SSU rRNA". It matches the Rfam family "Bacterial small subunit ribosomal RNA", at positions 338 to 795 of the family's 1533-position model. The record is from RNAcentral.
CCUACGGGGUGCAGCAGUGAGGAAUAUUGGUCAAUGGAGGCAACUCUGAACCAGCCACGUCGCGUGAAGGAUGACGGCCCUACGGGUUGUAAACUUCUUUUGUAAGGGAAUAAAGUUAGUUACGUGUAACUAUUUGCAUGUACCUUACGAAUAAGGAUCGGCUAACUCCGUGCCAGCAGCCGCGGUAAUACGGAGGAUCCAAGCGUUAUCCGGAUUUAUUGGGUUUAAAGGGUGCGUAGGCGGAAGAUUAAGUCGGUGGUGAAAUUUUGCAGCUCAACUGUAAAAGUGCCAUUGAUACUGGUUUUCUUGAGUAUGGAUGAAGUAGGCGGAAUUUGUGGUGUAGCGGUGAAAUGCAUAGAUAUCACGAGGAACUCCGAUUGCGCAGGCAGCUUACUAAACCAUAACUGACGCUCAGGCACGAAGGCGUGGGGAUCAAACAGGAUUAGAUACCCCCGUAGUC